CUCUCGUGUCCCCAGGACACGCUAGGCUCCUGGCAGCGCUGUGUGACCACGUGUGAGACAGCCCUGAAGCAAGGGAAACGGGUCGCCAUCGACAACACAAACCCAGACGCCGCGAGCCGCGCCAGGUAGCGUGACCGCGGGGCCGUAGGUGGCCUGCGGCGGGGUGGGCGGGGCCUGCACAUCCAGCUCCUUCCCCCACAGGUACGUCCAGUGUGCCCGAGCCGCGGGCGUCCCCUGCCGCUGCUUCCUCUUCACCGCCACUCUGGAGCAGGCGCGCCACAACAACCGGUUUCGAGAGAUGACGGACUCCUCUCAUAUCCCCGUGUCAGACAUGGUCAUGUAUGGCUACAGGAAGCAGUUCGAGGCCCCAACGCUGGCUGAAGGCUUCUCUGCCAUCCUGGAGAUCCCGUUCCGGCUAUGGGUGGAGCCGAGGCUGGGGCGGCUGUACUGCCAGUUCUCCGAGGGCUGAGCCCCGCCCAGCUCCCCUCCACAAUAAACGCUGUUUCUCCUUGA
Molecule: long non-coding RNA, 513 nt
Filed under: Homo sapiens (human)
Lineage: Eukaryota; Metazoa; Chordata; Mammalia; Primates; Hominidae
Description: non-protein coding lnc-AKT1S1-3:3
Source: RNAcentral